This is a non-coding RNA of Oryza barthii, 207 nucleotides long. The record is from Rfam. Lineage: Eukaryota; Viridiplantae; Streptophyta; Magnoliopsida; Poales; Poaceae.
AAAAAAAACAAACACUGGUUCCCGUGUCCACCGUUUGAUCGUACGUCUUAUUUAAAAAAAAAUAUGAAAAAAAUUUAAAAAAUAAAUCACGCAUAAAGUAUUAAUCAUGUUUUAUCAUCUAACAACAAUAAAAAUAUUAAUUAUAAAAAAAUUUUAUAUAAGACGGACAAUUAAACGUUGUUACGAAAAUGCAGGGUUUGCCUUUUU